Molecule: ribosomal RNA, 407 nt
Filed under: uncultured bacterium
Lineage: Bacteria
Description: partial 16S ribosomal RNA
Rfam family: Bacterial small subunit ribosomal RNA
Source: RNAcentral
GACGAACGCUGGCGGCGUGCCUAAUACAUGCAAGUAGAACGCAGUUGCGAACGGGUGAGUAACGCGUAGGUAACUGCCUCAUAGCGGGGGAUAACUAUUGGAAACGAUAGCUAAUACCACAUACUGUGAGAUGGACCUACGUUGUAUUAGCUAGUUGGUGAGGUAAAGGGUCACCAAGGCGACGAGACAUAGCCGACCUGAGAGGGAGAUAGGCCAAAAUGGGAAUGGGACACGGCCCAGACUCCUACGGGCGGCAGCAGUAGGGGAUCUUCGGCAAUUGACGGAAGUCUUAGCGCGCAACGCCGCGUGAGUGAAGAAGGUUUUCGGAUCGUAAAGCUCUGUUGUUAAAGAAACGGUAACUAACCAGAAAGGGACGGCUAACUACGUGCCAGCAGCCGCGGUAAUAC